Molecule: long non-coding RNA, 1111 nt
Organism: Haliotis rubra (blacklip abalone)
Lineage: Eukaryota; Metazoa; Mollusca; Gastropoda; Lepetellida; Haliotidae
Exons: 2
Source: RefSeq, a predicted model, not a curated record
UUCAUGAGUUCUGUCAGCAACUAGAUGAUGAAAUGUACAGAACUCUCCUAUGCGAGGUAGAAGCAAUUUUGAAUUCAAGGCCUCUUACUCCAGUUUCUAGUGAUCCUGAUGAUCUUAAUCCACUCACUCCAAAUCACCUUCUUAUGAUGAAAUCAAAUGUUUUCAUUCCCCCACCUGGUGAAUUUCAACUUGAUGAUAUUUAUGCUCGUCAACGUUGGAGACACAUUCAACAUUUAGCAAAUGUAUUUUGGUCACGUUGGAAAAAAGAAUAUCUUGUCUUGCUACAACAGCGUCAAAAAUGGAACACUCCAAAGCGCAAUUUCCAAUUGAACGAUAUUGUGCUCUUGAAAGAUGAUGCACUUCCCCGAAGUGCUUGGUCGAUGUGUCGUGUUACUGGAAUUGAGGCUGAUAAAAGUGGAUAUGUCAGGAGUGUCAUCCUGAAAACAAAAGACUCUGAGCUGCGAAGACCAGUUCACAAACUUGUUUUACUUCUUCCUUCAAACAUGUGAUUGAAAUGUUUGUUUUGUCGGUCUGAUUGUUUUCUUGCAUUCCUUGUAGUUUGGGUUGUUAAACACACCGUGAGUAUGUUUAAGGGGCCGAAUGUGUAAAUGCAAGAAUUCUUUACAUACAUUUCAAUGUACAAAUUCUUUCAAAUGAAAUUGUUUACUAAGUUGUGACAAUUGGUUUUAAGUAUUUUAUCCAUGGUGGUCCAAUAAUUAAAACACUUAAUUAAAAUCUAAAGUUCAUUUCCAUUUAAAUCCUUAUCAGUCAAAAGUGUAAACAAUGUGGCCCAGUAAAUUUCCAUUACCCUGUGGCCUUAACCUUCAUGUGUGAUGUCAAAGCUCACAGGUCACAUCAUGACCUCUCCAAAGCUCAUGCAUUUUGGAGCACAUGCUUGCCAGUGUGUAUUGGACCUCCAUGCUGCCUGGUUGUCACCCAGCUGACUGUAAGCUGAACUAUGUAAAGACACAUAUUUUUCUGAACCUCAUCAGCUCAUCAGCAACUUUACUCUUCAAGUGAACGCAAUAAUAUUCAUCAAAUCCUCAGCAGCAGCCACUUAUUAUGAACUGUAAUUUCUCAAAUAUUAAUACAUUAAACCCUGUUGAUGCGA